UGUUCUAUGGCCGAACUGGUAAAGGCAUUGCCGAUCACAGUCAAGGUUGCGGGUUCGAAUCCCGCUGGAACGG
This 73-nucleotide transfer RNA is filed under the name Operophtera brumata (winter moth). It matches the Rfam family "tRNA". From Rfam's summary of the family: Transfer RNA (tRNA) molecules are approximately 80 nucleotides in length. The record is from Rfam by way of RNAcentral. Lineage: Eukaryota; Metazoa; Arthropoda; Insecta; Lepidoptera; Geometridae.